UACCAGCACCCCGAGUGGUCGGGACGUUUAUUGGGCCUAAAGCAUCCGUAGCCGGUUCUACAAGUCUUCCGUUAAAUCCAGCUGCUUAACAGAUGGGCUGCGGAAGAUACUAUGGAGCUAGGAGGCGGGAGAGGCAAGCGGUACUCGAGUGGGUAGGGGUAAAAUCCGUUGAUCCAUUGAAGACCACCAGUGGCGAAGGCGGCUUGCCAGAACGCGCUCGACGGUGAGGGAUGAAAGCUGGGGGAGGCAAACCGGG
This 256-nucleotide ribosomal RNA is filed under the name uncultured bacterium. Its description in RNAcentral is "partial 16S ribosomal RNA". It matches the Rfam family "Archaeal small subunit ribosomal RNA", at positions 474 to 728 of the family's 1478-position model. The record is from RNAcentral.